UUGAACGCUAGCGGGAUGCUUUACACAUGCAAGUCGAACGGCAGCGCGAGAGAGCUUGCUCUCUUGGCGGCGAGUGGCGGACGGGUGAGUAAUAUAUCGGAACGUGCCCAGUAGCGGGGGAUAACUACUCGAAAGAGUGGCUAAUACCGCAUACGCCCUACGGGGGAAAGGGGGGGAUCGCAAGACCUCUCACUAUGGGAGCGGCCGAUAUCGGAUUAGCUAGUUGGUGGGGUAAAGGCUCACCAAGGCAACGAUCCGUAGCUGGUUUGAGAGGACGACCAGCCACACUGGGACUGAGACACGGCCCAGACUCCUACGGGAGGCAGCAGUGGGGAAUUUUGGACAAUGGGGGAAACCCUGAUCCAGCCAUCCCGCGUGUAUGAUGAAGGCCUUCGGGUUGUAAAGUACUUUUGGCAGAGAAGAAAAGGUAUCUCCUAAUACGAGAUACUGCUGACGGUAUCUGCAGAAUAAGCACCGGCUAACUACGUGCCAGCAGCCGCGGUAAUACGUAGGGUGCAAGCGUUAAUCGGAAUUACUGGGCGUAAAGCGUGUGUAGGCGGUUCGGAAAGAAAGAUGUGAAAUCCCAGGGCUCAACCUUGGAACUGCAUUUUUAACUGCCGAGCUAGAGUAUGUCAGAGGGGGGUAGAAUUCCACGUGUAGCAGUGAAAUGCGUAGAUAUGUGGAGGAAUACCGAUGGCGAAGGCAGCCCCCUGGGAUAAUACUGACGCUCAGACACGAAAGCGUGGGGAGCAAA
This 754-nucleotide ribosomal RNA is filed under the name uncultured soil bacterium. Its description in RNAcentral is "bacterial SSU rRNA". It matches the Rfam family "Bacterial small subunit ribosomal RNA", at positions 29 to 772 of the family's 1533-position model. The record is from RNAcentral.